GGGGCGACCUGUUGAAGGCCGAACUGUCGGGGUGAGGUUGGGCGGAAUAAAUUGUACGAAAUUUGCAACAGUAGGCGAUGACAGCUAGACGGUGAUGAUUUGAGUGAAAGUGGUGAUUAGUUGAUCAUUUACCAAAGGCGACCUCAAAAGGGCCCAUUUGCAAAACGACGACGAUCACGCAUGGCACUCUCGGAUCGUCCAUCAACAACAGGUAGAGAGGCGAAGUCGCCUUUUUCUUCACGGUGUCAGUGGAUGACACCCAAAUUAGGAAUUCCUGGUGCGGGACUCUUUCAACUUUGUUGUUGCUGUUGCUAUUGCUGUUGCGUUGGAGGGAGAUGGAUGAGCUUGAUCUUCGUGCGAUAUGCACAACAAUGGGCACUCUCUCUCCCUCUCUCUCUCUCUGGGCCCCGAAACGAACAAAAAAAGCGCCUUUGGUUGGAAUUUCAGGUAAAGAGAAGAGUGAAAUAACACAACGACACCUUGAAGAACCAACUCCGAACGCAUCGCACACAUACGUAAAUAAAUUAUCUUAACGAUCAAUGAA
Culex quinquefasciatus (southern house mosquito) is the source of this 544-nucleotide long non-coding RNA. RefSeq lists it as uncharacterized. The transcript has 2 exons. The record is from RefSeq and is a predicted model, not a curated record. Lineage: Eukaryota; Metazoa; Arthropoda; Insecta; Diptera; Culicidae.